Molecule: long non-coding RNA, 644 nt
Organism: Xiphophorus hellerii (green swordtail)
Lineage: Eukaryota; Metazoa; Chordata; Actinopteri; Cyprinodontiformes; Poeciliidae
Exons: 2
Source: RefSeq, a predicted model, not a curated record
UCGAACCGCCAUCUUCCUGUCACACUCUGGUUUUGUUUCUGGGCUUCUUUUUUGACCUGUUCAGCUCUUUUUGUUCUAGUGAUGUUGGUGAUGGUGUGCUGUUUAUCUGUCUUUGCUGCUGUUCAAUCUCUGACUCCAUUCUUUGGAUCAAAGCAGAAGCUGUGAUGAUAACAAGACAAGGCACCAAAGAGAUGAGGCUCAUUCAAUAUUUAAUACAAAUGUCUUUUGCUAGUUGAUUGGAUAUAAAACUGCAAUGUUUCCCCCAGAAGACUUGCUAAGCCUGGUGGAUGGGGAAAUAUGAAAAUAUCACUUGAUAAUUAUGUGUCAUUGAAAGAUUAGCAGAUUAACACCUGAACACCAACUAUAAAGUCUUAAAAAAUGCUAACAUUUUAAAAAGACUUAAAUAAAUAAGUAAUACUUAACCUGGUGGCCCACCAGGCUUAUAAUACACUGGGGGAAACACUGAAAAUGGAAGAAUAAAUAAAUAUGUUAACAUAGUAUGCUGCAAUAAAUGAUCCAAACCUAAUAAAUUAUUUUGGGAUUAGUUAAUGUCGUAAUUUUGUCCCCUUACUCCCUGUGGACCUAUGGAGCGGACUGUUCUCUAACAUUUCAAGGAGAAUAAAAUUCAAAUUAUUUAACAUCUA